UGGGGAAUAUUGCACAAUGGAGGGAACUCUGAUGCAGCGACGCCGCGUGAUUGAUGAAGGAAUUCGUUUCGUAAAACUCUAUUCUAUGGGAAGAAAAGGACUGUACCAUAGGAGAAAGCUCCGGCUAAAUACGUGCCAGCAGCCGCGGUAAUACGUAUGGAGCGAGCGUUGUCCGGAAUUAUUGGGAGUAAAGGGUGCGCAGGCGGAUUUACAAGUUGGAUGUGAAAUAUUGUGGCUCAACCACAAACGUGCAUCCAAAACUGAAAAGCUUGAUUUAAGGAGAGGUAAGUGGAAUUCCUGGUGUAGCGGUAGAAUGCGUAGAUAUCAGGAGGAAUACCGGUGGCGAAAGCGACUUACUGGACUUAAACUGACGCUCAGCCACGAAAGCGGGGGGAGCAAGCAGG
RNAcentral lists this ribosomal RNA (404 nucleotides) under Fusobacteriota bacterium. RNAcentral's name for it is "Fusobacteria bacterium partial 16S ribosomal RNA". It matches the Rfam family "Bacterial small subunit ribosomal RNA", at positions 355 to 776 of the family's 1533-position model. Lineage: Bacteria; Fusobacteriati; Fusobacteriota. The record is from RNAcentral.